RNAcentral lists this microRNA (22 nucleotides) under Homo sapiens (human). Its description in RNAcentral is "hsa-miR-12123". The record is from miRBase by way of RNAcentral. Lineage: Eukaryota; Metazoa; Chordata; Mammalia; Primates; Hominidae.
UUAUUCAUUCACAAAAGCUUUA